Molecule: ribosomal RNA, 484 nt
Filed under: uncultured bacterium
Lineage: Bacteria
Description: partial 16S ribosomal RNA
Rfam family: Bacterial small subunit ribosomal RNA
Source: RNAcentral
AUUGAACGCUGGCGGCAGGCCUAACACAUGCAAGUCGAGCGGAUGAAGGGAGCUUGCUCCUGGAUUCAGCGGCGGACGGGUGAGUAAUGCCUAGGAAUCUGCCUGGUAGUGGGGGAUAACGUCCGGAAACGGGCGCUAAUACCGCAUACGUCCUGAGGGAGAAAGGGGGGGAUCUUCGGACCUCACGCUAUCAGAUGAGCCUAGGUCGGAUUAGCUAGUUGGUGGGGUAAAGGCCUACCAAGGCGACGAUCCGUAACUGGUCUGAGAGGAUGAUCAGUCACACUGGAACUGAGACACGGUCCAGACUCCUACGGGAGGCAGCAGUGGGGAAUAUUGGACAAUGGGCGAAAGCCUGAUCCAGCCAUGCCGCGUGUGUGAAGAAGGUCUUCGGAUUGUAAAGCACUUUUAGUUGGGAAGAAGGGCAGUAAGUUAAUACCUUGCUGUUUUGACGUUACCAACAGAAUAAGCACCGGCUAACUUCGUG